UGGGGAAUAUUGGACAAUGGGCGCAAGCCUGAUCCAGCAAUGCCGCGUGUGUGAAGAAGGCCUUCGGGUUGUAAAGCACUUUUAUCUGGAGCGAAAUCUGCAGGGCUAAUACCCAUGCAGUCUGACGGUACCAGAGGAAUAAGCACCGGCUAACUUCGUGCCAGCAGCCGCGGUAAUACGAAGGGUGCAAGCGUUACUCGGAAUUACUGGGCGUAAAGCGUGAGUAGGUGGUUUCUUAAGUCUGCUGUGAAAGCCCCGGGCUCAACCUCGGGCCUGCAGUGGGUACGGGCAGACUAGAGUGCGGUAGGGGAGAUUGGAAUUCCCGGUGUAGCAGUGAAAUGCGUAGAGAUCGGGAGGAACACCAGUGGCGAAGGCGACUAUCUGGACCAGCACUGACACUGGGGCACGAAAGCGUGGGGAGCAAACA
RNAcentral lists this ribosomal RNA (427 nucleotides) under uncultured bacterium. RNAcentral's name for it is "bacterial SSU rRNA". It matches the Rfam family "Bacterial small subunit ribosomal RNA", at positions 355 to 774 of the family's 1533-position model. The record is from RNAcentral.